CCAACAGGCGAUUGCCUUAGUAACGGCGAGUGAAGCGGCAACAGCUCAAAUUUGAAAUCUGGCCCUCGGGUCCGAAUUGUAAUUUGUAGAGGAUGAUUUUGGUGCGGUAUCUUCCGAGUUCCUUGGAACAGGACGCCUUAGAGGGUGAGAGCCCCGUACGGUUGAAUGCCUAGCCUCUGUAAAUCUCCUUCGACGAGUCGAGUAGUUUGGGAAUGCUGCUCUAAAUGGGAGGUAAAUUUCUUCUAAAGCUAAAUAUUGGCCAGAGACCGAUAGCGCACAAGUAGAGUGAUCGAAAGAUGAAAAGCACUUUGAAAAGAGGGUUAAAUAGCACGUGAAAUUGUUGAAAGGGAAGGAUUUGUGACCAGACUUUUUCUGGGCGGAUCAUCCGGGGUUCUCUCCGGUGCACUUUGCCCAGUAAAGGCCAGCAUCGAUUUUCGGCGGCGGAUAAAAGCAGUGGGAAUGUGGCUCCCUACGGGGAGUGUUAUAGCCCAUUGUAUAAUACGCUGCUGGGGAUCGAGGUACGCGCUUCUGCAAGGAUGCUGGCGUAAUGGUUAUCAAUCACCCGUCUUGAAACACGGACCAAGGAGUCGAACAUUUAUGCGAGUGUUUGGGUGUUAAACCCUCACGCGUAAUGAAAGUGAACGGAGGUGAGAGCCCGUACGGGUGCAUCAUCGACCGAUCCUGAAGUUUUCGGAUGGAUUUGAGUAAGAGCAUAACUGUUCGGACCCGAAAGAUGGUGAACUAUGCGUGGAUAGGGUGAAGCCAGAGGAAACUCUGGUGGAGGCUCGCAGCGGUUCUGACGUGCAAAUCGAUCGUCAAAUCUGCGCAUG
RNAcentral lists this ribosomal RNA (830 nucleotides) under Pestalotiopsis krabiensis. RNAcentral's name for it is "partial 28S large subunit ribosomal RNA". It matches the Rfam family "Eukaryotic large subunit ribosomal RNA", at positions 65 to 919 of the family's 3401-position model. The record is from RNAcentral. Lineage: Eukaryota; Fungi; Ascomycota; Sordariomycetes; Amphisphaeriales; Sporocadaceae.